CAAAAGCCUGGUCCUGACUUUAACAUCAGUUCUGGCCUGACUUACACAUGCAAGUACCCGCGCACCCGUGAGAAUGCCCUAUAUCCCCUCCCGGGGAAAAGGAGCCGGCAUCAGGCACACCAACGUAGCCCAAAACGCCUUGCUCAGCCACACCCACAAGGGAAUUCAGCAGUGAUAGAUAUUAAGCAAUGAGCGAAAGCUCGACUUAGUCAAGGCCAAAAGAGCCGGUAAAACUCGUGCCAGCCACCGCGGUUAUACGAGGGGCUCAAAUUGAUAUUACACGGCGUAAAGCGUGAUUAAAAAACAAAAAAACUAAAGCCAAACACUUCCCAAGCUGUCAUACGCUACCGGAACAUAAACGAAGCCCUAUAACGAAAGUAGCUUUAACACCUUUGAACUCACGACAGUUGAGGAACAAACUGGGAUUAGAUACCCCACUAUGCUCAACCUUAAACAACGAUGACAACAUACAAAUAUCAUCCGCCAGGGGACUACGAGCGUUAGCUUAAAACCCAAAGGACUUGGCGGUGCCUCAAACCCAC
This 542-nucleotide ribosomal RNA is filed under the name Anguilla anguilla (European eel). Its description in RNAcentral is "partial small subunit ribosomal RNA". It matches the Rfam family "Bacterial small subunit ribosomal RNA", at positions 8 to 930 of the family's 1533-position model. The record is from RNAcentral. Lineage: Eukaryota; Metazoa; Chordata; Actinopteri; Anguilliformes; Anguillidae.